Long non-coding RNA from Anguilla rostrata (American eel), 1086 nucleotides. RefSeq lists it as uncharacterized. Lineage: Eukaryota; Metazoa; Chordata; Actinopteri; Anguilliformes; Anguillidae. The transcript has 3 exons. The record is from RefSeq and is a predicted model, not a curated record.
AAUGCAUAUAUGGGGAAAUGGACGUCUGAGCAAUCAUUCGAUUUGGGGCGAUGCUGUAGGGGGACGAAUAGAAUCUGCAAACACAUGGACAGGCAGCAAGUUCCGGUGAGGCCGGGGGGACUGCUCUUACCUGGCGAAGCCCACGCCGCGGCUGGUCCCGUUGGCAUCACGGAGAAUGCGGGUGGAGAUGACCUGGCCGAAGGACUUCAACAUGGCCUCCAGCUCCUGCUCGUCCAUGGAGAGCGGCAGCCUGGCUCCCUCCCAGCCCGUAACUCGACCUGCCCUGCACGACGCGCUGGCUGGAAACGCACUGCGGGCCUCCGACAACCAGCGCGCCCAAACUGGGAAUCCCCUCCGCCCCACCUCCCUCAACUCCCAGCGCCCCACCUAAACCGUCAACAACCAGACACUUUCCGCUCAACAAAACCGAGUCCGAGAUCAGCUCAGUUGACCCGUGACUGAAGCCAAGUGGCUAACUGACUCACGUGGCAACUGAUGUGAGCUCAGGGCAAAUAAUUUAUUCACACCCCAUCAGCCGCACAGAUGGCUAACCAGCAUGACUAAUUCAGUUUUCCACCAUCCUUUGAUUGUAUGGGAAUAACUGUUGCAAAUAUCUAUCUGCACAUAUCUGCAUUCCAAGAUAUUAUAAACAGGAUGACGGAAUGGUGACCACCCUAUCCUAAUAUAUUUAUUCACUCUUUUCUUGAAAAAGACCCCAUAAAACCUACUUAACAUUGUUGUAACCACGAUAUAACACUGAUCAGAACCAGAGGUGGAAGGUCCAGGGGUCAGUCCUGCCUUGUGUUUCUUCCAGCCAUGAACUCAGCCAGCUGAUUUCACAAAUUAGUUCUACCUCCUGACUGAAGAAUUGUGGGGUCUUGAGGUCUUUCACUAGUACCUGGAUUUUUCUCCUCUGGUCAUAACCAGUCAUGAGACCAAUGUCAUAACACUGUCGCAGUUAUUAUUAUUUUGAAUAUGUUUUGAAAAAUCUACCGCAUAUAUUUGCCAUAAACUGUAACAACCUGCCACAAAUUUUAUAACAUAUUCUUAUGUAUAUAUCAAUUAAUAAAAUCUUAUUUUAUGAGA